CCUACGGGUGACAGCAGUGGGGAAUAUUGCACAAUGGGGGAAACCCUGAUGCAGCAACGCCGCGUGAGUGAUGAAGGCCUUCGGGUUGUAAAGCUCUGUCAUCAGGGACGAUAGUGACGGUAGCUGCUGAGGAAGCAGCGGCGAACUACGUCGCAGCAGCCGCCGUAAUACGGCGGGGGGGAGCGUUGUCCGGAGUUACUGGGCGUAAAGGGGGCGGCGGCGGACUUUUCAGUGCGACGGGAAAUACUCGGGCUCAAACUGAGUGCUGCAUUUGAAACUGGAAGUCUAGAGUGCGGGAGAGGAGAACGGAAUUCCUAGUGUAGCGGUGAAAUGCGUAGAGAUUAGGAAGAACACCAGUGGCGAAGGCGAUUCUCUGGACUGUAACUGACGCUGAGGCUCGAAAGCGUGGGGAGCAAACAGGAUUAGAUACCCGUGUAGUC
Molecule: ribosomal RNA, 440 nt
Filed under: uncultured bacterium
Lineage: Bacteria
Description: partial 16S ribosomal RNA
Rfam family: Bacterial small subunit ribosomal RNA
Source: RNAcentral